UACGGAGGGUGCAAGCGUUAUCCGGAUUCACUGGGUUUAAAGGGUGCGUAGGAGGGCAGGUAAGUCAGUGGUGAAAUCUCCAAGCUUAACUUGGAAACUGCCGUUGAUACUAUCUGUCUUGAAUACCGUGGAGGUGAGCGGAAUAUGUCAUGUAGCGGUGAAAUGCGUAGAUAUCUGGAGGAAUACCGGUGGCGAAGGCGGCAUCCUGGACCGACAUUGACGCUGAGGAGCGAAAGCUAGGGGAGCAAACGGG
RNAcentral lists this ribosomal RNA (253 nucleotides) under uncultured bacterium. Its description in RNAcentral is "partial 16S ribosomal RNA". It matches the Rfam family "Bacterial small subunit ribosomal RNA", at positions 524 to 776 of the family's 1533-position model. The record is from RNAcentral.